GGGAAACCACUGAUGUGAUUGAUAAAAACAAAGAAAGCAAGUUUGUUGUGAUACACCUUCGUUUUUAUCAAUCACAAGGAUAUGGCUGCCCAUUCAGCCUGUGAUUUUGGUGGGGGCAAAGCUGAAAAAUUGGCUCUGGCCAAGUACCGACAAGUAAUUUGGCAGGGAAGGGUCCUUAACUCGCAGUUCACUGAUGAAGAAUUGAGGAGUCAGGGCCGUUGCCCAUUGACACCUGAAGAGAUUGGAUUACUUCUCGCAGCUUUGGGCUUUGACAACAGUACUCAUCUAUACCUUGCUUCCCACAAGGUUUAUGGGGGGGAAGCUAGGAUAUCAACUUUACGAAAAUUGUUUCCGCUAAUGGAAGACAAAAAGAGUCUUGCUUCUUCAGAUGAACGUGCACAGAUCAAAAAGAAGGCUUCUCUGUUGGCUGCAGAGGAUUACUAUGUUGGCUUGCACAGUGACAUCUUCAUCUCUGCAGCCAACAGAGAAGCCUUCUUUUUG
RNAcentral lists this unclassified non-coding RNA (501 nucleotides) under Hevea brasiliensis (rubber tree). The record is from RNAcentral. Lineage: Eukaryota; Viridiplantae; Streptophyta; Magnoliopsida; Malpighiales; Euphorbiaceae.